UAUAACUUGGAAGAAAAGUGUUUGCCUCCCAUGCAAGAGGCCCUGAGUUCAAUUCCCAGUA
RNAcentral lists this transfer RNA (61 nucleotides) under Cricetulus griseus (Chinese hamster). It matches the Rfam family "tRNA", at positions 6 to 65 of the family's 71-position model. Rfam says of the family: Transfer RNA (tRNA) molecules are approximately 80 nucleotides in length. Lineage: Eukaryota; Metazoa; Chordata; Mammalia; Rodentia; Cricetidae. The record is from Rfam by way of RNAcentral.